This 253-nucleotide ribosomal RNA is filed under the name uncultured bacterium. RNAcentral's name for it is "partial 16S ribosomal RNA". It matches the Rfam family "Bacterial small subunit ribosomal RNA", at positions 524 to 776 of the family's 1533-position model. The record is from RNAcentral.
UAUGUAGGGGGCAAGCGUUGUCCGGAUUUAUUGGGCGUAAAGAGCGUGUAGGCGGCCUGACAAGUCUGCUGUGAAAACUCGAGGCUCAACCUCGAGAUGUCGGCGGAAACUGUCUGGCUAGAGUCCGGAAGAGGAGAGUGGAAUUCCUGGUGUAGCGGUGAAAUGCGCAGAUAUCAGGAAGAACACCUAUGGCGAAGGCAGCUCUCUGGGACGGUACUGACGCUGAGACGCGAAAGCGUGGGGAGCGAACAGG